UACGAAGGGGGCUAGCGUUGCUCGGAAUUACUGGGCGUAAAGCGCACGUAGGCGGCUUGUUAAGUCAGGGGUGAAAUCCUGGAGCUCAACUCCAGAACUGCCUUUGAUACUGGCGAGCUUGAGUUCGGGAGAGGUGAGUGGAACUGCGAGUGUAGAGGUGAAAUUCGUAGAUAUUGGGAAGAACACCGGUGGCGAAGGCGGCUCACUGGCUCAUUUCUGACGCUCAGGCGCGACAGCGUGGGGAUCAAACAGG
Molecule: ribosomal RNA, 253 nt
Filed under: uncultured bacterium
Lineage: Bacteria
Description: partial 16S ribosomal RNA
Rfam family: Bacterial small subunit ribosomal RNA
Source: RNAcentral